RNAcentral lists this ribosomal RNA (402 nucleotides) under Acusta ravida. Its description in RNAcentral is "partial large subunit ribosomal RNA". The record is from RNAcentral. Lineage: Eukaryota; Metazoa; Mollusca; Gastropoda; Stylommatophora; Camaenidae.
GCUCAAUGAUAUAUUAAAUAGCCGCAGUAAUUUGACUGUGCAAAGGUAGCAUAAUCAAUUGACUUAUAAUUGAAGUCUGGAAUGAAGGAAUAUAUUGGGGACUAACUGUAUCAAUUAUGUAAACUAAAAUUACUCAUAGGGUGAAAAUUCCCUUUUAUAAAUAAUAGACGAGAAGACCCUAGAAAUUUUUAUAAUUUGAGUUAUUUCAUUGAUUUUUGUUGGGGCGACAUAGUAGCAUUAAACCUACUCUAAUAUAAUUUGAUUAUAUUUAUACGUUAAAUUAAAUUACUCUAGGGAUAACAGCAUAAUAUUUAAAAGUUUGUGACCUCGAUGUUGGACUAGGAAAUAAUAAUCUAGAAGGUAAAUUAUUAUGCUCUGUUCGAGCAUUAUCUCCUACGUGAU